RNAcentral lists this long non-coding RNA (2713 nucleotides) under Eucalyptus grandis. RNAcentral describes it as "long non-coding RNA (EGRA_LNC002571)". Lineage: Eukaryota; Viridiplantae; Streptophyta; Magnoliopsida; Myrtales; Myrtaceae. The record is from RNAcentral.
AGCACCCCACCGAACACACCCUUGCCAAGUUCAAUUUUACUUUCUCUUCUCUCUCCUCUUUGACUAGUCAAAACUUCUCUCUCUUAUCUCUUCUUCUCUCUCCUCUCUCUUCUCCCUCAUCCCACGUGAUCUUCUUCUUCUUCGUUCUUCUUUGUGCGAACGAGACCAAAACCAGCAAAGAAGAAAAUUAGCUCGCCGAAGCUCAUCACCGCUGCACCGGAGCCGGACCACCACCCGCGCAACACUCGCCCGCGCACGCCGCGUGCUCCGCCACCGCCCCUUCACGUGUGCCGUCCUCGCCGUGCACCAUUCAGCCUCUACUCAGCCCGUGUUCCGCCCCGUCCGGCCACCUCCGGCCACUGUGGGCCACCGCUCGGCCUCGCCAAGCCACCACCCGCUCUCCCGACCUCUUGCCGCCCCCAACCCUCUCUCUUUCUUGCUGUUUUGCGGCCGAACCAGCAAACCCGCGAGUGGGUUUCCAGCCGGUUCGUGGGCCGUUUUGGGCCGUUUCCAGGCCCCGGAUGCGCAAGUCGCUUUGGGAAGUUUCGUUCCUCGCGUCGCCCCCGUCGGAUUGAUCCGAUUUGCGUGCGAUUUGGUGAGUAAUCUCACUAAUCUUGGAUUAGUUGGCUAAUUAUGCUUAAGGUUGGUUUAGUUUUAAUUAAUUGUGUUUAGGUUGUUAGAUUAGAAUAAAUUAGCAAUUAUUAGUCAAUUGUGAUGCGAUUUAGAUAAAUUGAUUGUGCAAUUAGUAAGUAGACGUGGUCUACUAAUUAUUGGAAGUGCCUCGGGAUUUUUCCUGACCCUUAGUGGGCUUCAAUUAGGCUUUUCGGGCCUAAGUGGAUUUUUUUAGUAUUUAAAUAUUAAUUUUCGGAAUUAAAUUAAAUAAUUAUUUAUUUUUCGAAAAUUUAACUGAGUUGAUUCGGAACUGGAAUUUUAUGCUGAUGACUGUGGUGAAGUCUAUUUAUUUAACUGAGCACCAAUUUGAGCUAAAUUGGAAUUAUUAUAAUUAAUUUUUAAUUCUCGAAAUUAAUUAAUUAUUUAUUUAUUUUUCGAAAAUUCAAUUGAGAUGGCCCGUGACCGGAAUAUUAUGCUGAUGAUGGUGGUGAAGUCCGUUUAUUUAAUUGGGCCUUAUUUUGAGCUAAACGAAACUUUUAAUAUUUAAUAAUUAAUUUUCGAAAUUAAUUAAUUAAUUAUUUAUUUUUCGGAAAUUAAGUUUGAGAUGGCCGACGACUGAAAUCUCGUGUUGAUCGUCGUGGCACAGUCCGUUUAUUUAAUUGAGCUUUAAUUUGUGCUGAAUUGAUUUAAUUGUGGAUAAUUACUUUAGAAAUGGGAUGAAUCAUCAUGAAAGGCACGUGGCUCGGUGAAUAGUACGUCAUCUCGGAGAAUGCACGUGGCUCAGUGAUUUGGUAUAUCACUUCGGAGAAUGCACGUGGCUCGAUGAUUAGUACGUCACCUUGAAGAAUGCACGGAGCUUGAUGAUUAGAUAUUUCACCUCGGAGAAUGCACAUGGCUCGGUGACGAAGUAUGUCGCCUUGGAGAAUGCAUGUGGCUCGGUGAUUAAGUGUGGCAUCCUAAAAGAGACACGUGGGCUCGGUAAUUUGAUGCAUUACCUCGGAGAAUGCACGUGGUCUCAAAGAGUACAUUUGGCAUCUAAAAGGACACGUGGGCUCGGUAAUUUGAUGCAUUACCUCGGAGAAUGCACGUGGUCCCAAUGAGUACAUUUGGCAUCUUGAAGAGACACGUGGGCUCGGUGACUUGAUGCAUCGCCUCGGAGAAUGCACGUGGGCUCGCUGAUUCAAAAUGGCAUUUUAAAGGGCACGUGGGCUCGGUAAAUUAAUGCAUUACCUCGGAGAAUGCACGUGACUCGGUAAUUGGUUUUAUCAAUUGAGACUGUAUAGCAAUAGCUUGAAUGACCGGGAAAUGGUCAGACUGAUAUGUAAUCGACUAGGUCGAUUGAUCAUUGAUUUGAUUUGAUGUCGUGGAUUGAUUGACCGAUUAGAAAUGACCGUGAGAGGUCUUGUUGGCAUAUAAUCGACUAUGUCAAUUUGAUCGAUGCUUCGAUCUGUGUUAUGAUUGCUUGGGUGCCUAUUAUGAAUUGUACUGACUUGCAAGUGGGAUCUAAGACCAAGGUAAGUCCUCUGCUCUGUGCGUGUUUAAGCAGCCUGUAGUAUAAUGGUUUACUAAUCGGGCUUAGUGGGUAGAACUCGCUAAGACGUAGUCUCAUCCCAGUUUGGGGAAAAACAUUUCAGGAUUCCGUUGAGGAGUUGAGGAGGAGGAGUCUGAGAAGGAGAACUCGAAGGCGAACUUGAGGAAAAUGAUUUUUGGAAGAAGAAGAUAAUUCCGAAGGGGGUCUUGAGUACGACCCAGAUGGACUGAGAGUCUAUCUUCUUUUGAGAAUUCCUUUUGAAGUGAAUAGUUAUGAAGUGGUUUGUGUUUUGUAUAAAAGUUUGGCUAUAAGUUUCAAUAUGAAAAAUAUGGCCCUGCUUUUCUAUCCCAUCGUUUCAUUGUCUGGGGAUUUUAACUGCUUCCACAUGUGCUUAAUAAACGAAAGGGUCGGCGAUACUUUGUCCUGGGAUAUCGCAUUAUAAAAUCGACCAAGUGAGAAGGAUGGGUGCGUGCCCGAGGAUCAGGGCGUGACACAGGCUGCCAAAUCUGGCCGUUCAACCGCGAGAUAUGGCUAUCCAACGGUUGGCUGGCGGUUGGCCGACAACCAACC